This 33-nucleotide ribosomal RNA is filed under the name Eunicella cavolini. RNAcentral describes it as "Eunicella cavolinii partial 28S ribosomal RNA". Lineage: Eukaryota; Metazoa; Cnidaria; Anthozoa; Malacalcyonacea; Eunicellidae. The record is from RNAcentral.
UUAACCUCGGAUCAGGCAAGACUACCCGCUGAA